Molecule: RNA transcript, 4116 nt
Organism: Pseudophryne corroboree (corroboree frog)
Lineage: Eukaryota; Metazoa; Chordata; Amphibia; Anura; Myobatrachidae
Gene: CELF4
Gene name: CUGBP Elav-like family member 4
Exons: 14
Source: RefSeq, a predicted model, not a curated record
AGUCUGCCUGAGACUUGAGCUGGCCCUGCCUGUUUAAACGGAAAGGACACAGAUCCUGUCUGUUCAAUGUAUAAAAAAAAAUCCCGAUCAGAGCAGGGAGAGAAAGGGGCAGACAGAGAGUGUGUAUGUGUGCGAGAGAGAGAGAACCCGUGUUACAGAAAGAAAAGCCAACAGGAUCCUCUAUGUAUAUAAAGAUGGCCACGUUAGCUAACGGACAACCAGACAAUAGCAGCCUGAACAGCAAUCACAGCAACCCAAACACCAACGGGCACAUGAACGGAUUAAACCACAGUCCUGGGAGCACUUCCACCAUCCCUAUGAAGGAUCACGAUGCCAUCAAGCUCUUCAUUGGGCAGAUCCCCCGCAAUCUGGAUGAGAAGGACCUGAAGCCUCUGUUUGAGGAGUUCGGCAAGAUCUACGAGCUGACUGUGCUGAAGGACAGGUUCACUGGCAUGCACAAAGGCUGCGCCUUCCUUACGUACUGCGAGCGAGAGUCCGCCAUAAGAGCCCAGAGUGCUCUGCAUGAGCAGAAGACCCUGCCUGGGAUGAACCGGCCAAUCCAGGUGAAGCCAGCGGACAGCGAGAGUAGAGGAGAAGACAGAAAACUUUUUGUGGGUAUGCUGAAUAAGCAGCAGUCAGAAGAUGAUGUCCGCCGACUAUUCGAAGCCUUCGGGAACAUUGAAGAAUGUACGAUCCUUCGGGGACCGGAUGGAAACAGCAAAGGAUGUGCGUUUGUGAAGUAUUCAUCGCACGCGGAAGCACAGGCAGCCAUUAAUGCUCUUCAUGGAAGCCAGACAAUGCCGGGGGCGUCCUCGAGCUUGGUGGUGAAGUUUGCUGACACAGACAAAGAACGUACAAUGAGGCGCAUGCAGCAAAUGGCCGGGCAGAUGGGAAUGUUUAACCCCAUGGCAAUCCAGUUCGGGGCCUACGGUGCUUACGCUCAAGCACUGAUGCAGCAGCAGGCCGCCAUUAUGGCUUCCGUCGCACAGGGUGGAUACCUGAAUCCCAUGGCCGCCUUCGCAGCCGCCCAGAUGCAGCAAAUGGCGGCUCUCAACAUGAAUGGUCUGGCGGCUGCUCCAAUGACGCCAACAUCAGGUGGGAGCACACCGCCAGGGAUCACCGCACCAGCCGUGCCUAACAUUCCAUCUCCACUUGGGGUGAAUGGCUUCACCGGUCUCCCACCGCAGGCUAAUGGACAGCCCACUGCAGAAGCUGUGUUCGCGAAUGGGAUCCAUCCCUACCCAGCUCAGAGUCCUACAGCGGCAGACCCCUUACAGCAAGCCUACGCUGGAGUACAGCAAUACGCAGGUCCUGCUUAUCCUGCUGCGUACGGACAGAUUGGACAAGCCUUCCCUCAGCCAGCUCCUAUGAUCCCACAGCAACAGAGAGAAGGACCCGAGGGAUGCAACCUGUUUAUCUACCAUCUGCCCCAGGAAUUUGGGGACGCGGAGCUGAUGCAGAUGUUCCUGCCUUUCGGUAAUGUCAUCUCCUCGAAAGUGUUUGUGGAUCGGGCGACAAACCAAAGUAAAUGCUUUGGUUUUGUGAGUUUUGACAAUCCUGCCAGUGCCCAAGCUGCCAUCCAAGCCAUGAAUGGCUUUCAGAUUGGCAUGAAGAGGCUGAAGGUGCAGCUCAAGAGGCCGAAAGAUGCCAACCGCCCUUAUUGAGAAAUUUCAGGAUCCUCGGGGAACAAGGACUAGCACAGACCCAACCAAUGGUCUCGCGCCGAAAAAGUUAACGUAAUGACGUGAGAAUGGAGAAAAGAGCCCCCCAGUCCGGCAGGAACUGAGUGGGCCGUAUUCUAACAAUACAACAUACAUAUAUAAAUAUAUAUGAUUGAGAAGCGCUGGAUCACAACUUUGACAUAUCAGCAAGUACCAAUUGUGCUGAGGACUUCAGACUUUUCUUCUCCUUUGAUUGUUAAGCCUGUAAUAUUUCUUCAAUGAAAGUAUCGCAUCUGCUUACGUGGAUGGGAACUCAAGUCGGAAACAUCAGACAGGAUCAAGAUCAAUGGGAAUUUCCGAACAGACACUGAUCAUACCACACAAAAAGGCUUUUGCUUCCAACUGGAAACCUGAAAUCUGACAAGGAGUGCCUGUCUGCUACCAUGAUCUAUGUUGCGAUGGUAAACCCAAAGCAACUGUUACAAGAAGCAUUGUAUCUGUCAUUCCUUAGCUAUUUAGGGACCAAAGGACCAAACUUUUUAUCGCAGACUUGUAGCUGUAUGUAAAAUAUGGAGUUAACUUCCUACAUCUCAGCUGUUCUUAAAACAGUUUGAGAUCAAUUAUAUGAAAUAUGUACAAAAAAAACUUACAUGCUUUUAAAAUGGCAAGAUAAUAGUUAUUUGAUACUAUAGAAGGUUCUUUGGUUAUACUAAUUCAAGUAUGAAAAUUUCAUAUGGUUUUCUGUAUAUUAUGAAAGGAUAAGUAUGUAGAGAUUAAAUAGAGGAUAGCUAUUUAAAAAAAGCAAAUAAAAUAAAACACAAAAAAAAAGAAAAAAAAAAGAAAAAUAAUGAAAAAUAAAAAUGCAUUAGAAAGACCGUAGUGGAAAAAAAAAGUUUGUAAAUGCUUCUAUCUCCCUUUAAAAUCCUAAUAGUUGUACAGAUUUAACAGAAAAGUUUAAGAUACCUAUAUAAUAGUUAAAGAAAUUAGAGAGCAAGAAAAAAAAACAGAAAAAAAACAACAAAAAAAACAAAAAAAUAGACAUUAGCAUUAUGGCUAAAAGAAAGAUGUUGUAGAACUGUAAUUUUUUGUAGAGUUUAGACUAAGCAUAAAUUCCUACUAUUUGCCAACUGCAUACUGUAUUGAGGAGGACAUGAGAGGCUGUGAUGGCAGUAUUUAACUGCAAGCAUUCCAUCUAUUAAAAAUAAAACAUGACUCUUGUAAAAUGAUGCAAAUGAAAUAUUAAAGUUACAACAGCUAUUGUCUUUUUAUCAGUUAAUUUUAACUUGAAGAAUGACACGGCUAUAGCUUCAUAUCUUCAUAACCUGCUAUUUGCUAACUCUCCAAUCAUCCUCUGCUUUAGUAGUUUCCAUAUUUGUUCUAGACCUUCAGGGCAAAAGAUAGCCUAGAACCUUAAUGUUAAAAAAAGUAAAAAAAAAAAUAUAUACAAUCUUUGAAGAAUUUCUGAAACUGUUUACAAGGAAUUUUGAAAAACAGGGGAUGUUUAAAACGAUGCUGGCUCUGUUUUUCUGUAAAUACAUUUGCAUAUUUUGUAGGUCUUUUAAUUGUAAUGAUAGAGAAAAAAACAAGGAAAAUUAUUUAAAUGAAAGCACGAUAUUUAUCUUUGGUAAUUGACUUUAGAGCAGUUUAAAAAAAAUAAAAAAAUAAGAUGUUGCUUUAGAAUAAAUUUCAGAUUCAGAAAAAAGUCAAUGAACUAUUUAAAACACAUAUAUUUUAAAAUAUAUCAUAUUUAUUCUAAUUUAUUUCCACUGUAUGAAUUAUUGAUUUUAUCUUCUUACUUUGUUCUCACUUCUUUUAGUUGAACUAAAAGGGUGCAAUGAUCAUGUUUUAAUUUUUUUUAUAAAUAUAUAUAAAUAUAAAUAUAUAUAUAAAUACACUUGAGAUUCUUAAAGUAUUAUCUCCUGCAAUGGAUCAUGAUUUUAUCCUUACCUUCUGUUUCCAAAUAAAGUUAACUGUUAAAUUUUAGAGGGGAUGGAACACUGUGAUGUAACCCUCGCCCUGGACACAAAAUGGGUCGGUUCUCUCAAACCUGAUUUUGUCAUCAUCCAUUUUAGUUAACCCAGUGUUGCCAUGUUGCAGGCCUGUCUUGCAUCAAAAGGGUAGUUUUUCAAUAUAUAUAUUUUUUAGACUAAUAGCUGAAGUCUGUGAUCCUUGCAUUUGUUCCUUAGAAUGCUGGCCAGCCUUUUCUAUAAUUAGGGAGCAAAUUCUGUUUAUUUAAUUUUUUUCUUUCUUCACCAAUUCUAGGGUGUUCUCAUUCUUUCUCUGUUCCAUUCCUUUAAUUCCUGCUGUUAGUAAGUACAAGUGUGUACAGCAGCUGCAUUUCCAUCCAACUGCUCUUUUCACUCUCAAUUACCUUAAAAAAUCUCCUUGUAAUCUUCUGUAAUUAUUGAAUGACGCUUUUCAGCUUAGCCCUAAAUAAAGCACAGUUUAAAAAAAA